UGGGGAAUUUUCCGCAAUGGGCGAAAGCCUGACGGAGCAAUGCCGCGUGGAGGUGGAGGGCCUACGGGUCGUCAACUUCUUUUCUCGGAGAAGAAACAAUGACGGUAUCUGAGGAAUAAGCAUCGGCUAACUCUGUGCCAC
This 141-nucleotide ribosomal RNA is filed under the name uncultured bacterium. RNAcentral describes it as "partial 16S rRNA". It matches the Rfam family "Bacterial small subunit ribosomal RNA", at positions 355 to 511 of the family's 1533-position model. The record is from RNAcentral.